This is an RNA transcript of Dinoponera quadriceps, 2976 nucleotides long. RefSeq lists it as uncharacterized. NCBI's taxonomy places the organism in Eukaryota, Metazoa, Arthropoda, Insecta, Hymenoptera, Formicidae. The transcript has 5 exons. The record is from RefSeq and is a predicted model, not a curated record.
UAAUCGCCCCGCGUAUAAACAAAAUAAGUACAUAUUUAAGUCGCGCGUUGUGCCUCAAGUAGGAUAGAAAUCCGCGGAAAGAGGAGAGGAAGCAGCGGGAGUAAAGGCGGACGAAUAUCUGGACGGGUGAUCGAAAAAUGAUCGAGCAAAAACGGACGAGUGGCUGGUAGCUCGCGAGCUGUCAUUUCUCGACACGUAGUUUCCUCUUCCGCGGCGCCCGCCUCUCCCCGAGAAAGACAAGAAGGCUUCAGCGCAAUAGCCCAGACUUCCGCAGUUCGACUUCCAUCCGGGGUUCAACGACUUCUGAGAUAUCCUGUAUGCAGAGCGCUUCCGCCGUUUCCCUUCUGCUUUUAGACACCAACGAUGACGAGUGGAGAUGGUCGAGGAACGUGAGAGGACGCGAAGGAAGUCUCUCGGCCGCCGAGAACAGCCCGAAAUCGACGGACGAGCCUCGUCGGCUCGGCUGCGUUCGCGCGGGCUUGACCAUAUCAGCCGAAGCACUGGAGGACUAUCUCCGUUCUCAUUAAAGGAUCAGGAACUUUGGUUCAUCAACCGACGAUACCAACAGGCGUAUUUUGGAGGAACGACAUUUUACGAUAUGCCCGAACCAUCAGCCGAUCUCGAGCGUUUUCCAGCAGAAGAGCACCAGCACGGCAAUCUGAAUACUGUCACGCAUAGAGAACGUCCUAACUAGGCAUCUUGAAGACAGUAGCUACAGAGUAAAACAGAUAGUUGCCCCGUAAUUCAUCACAAAUCUACACUGAAUCUGACAUCUUCUACCUCAACGCCAUUCGCACAACCCGUUUGUGACAGCGACUUUCAGACAGCGAACGUCGCUGCACGGACAAUCACAAUCAGCGUUGAUGUAACCCACGUGCACAGCGCUACAAAUGUAAAAGAAAAGCCUUCUAAGCUUUCGAGGAGCUUAACUUCCUUGCGAUAGGACUAUCUUCGGUUAUCUCCCUUGGGACUUUUUUGGGCAACGAUCACGUGAUUCUUUCUCGAAGGCGGAAACGUAAAAGCAAACAUUUCCAAAUUUCUUUAUCGCUUUCCAAUUACCGUUCAAAUGAGAAAGUUCUCUACUUUUCACAAAUUCGUGCUAGAGGAAAAGACUUGCCAGGGGGCCACGAAUCUUGUCCUUUAACGUGAAUUCGUGAGAAGGGGAAAUUUCGUAAUUUGAAAUUGCCCUGUUUCGAGCUCGAGAGCCGGAUCGAUAUCGGCACCGCGCAGGUUUCAGUCAGUAAGAUUGCGGGUUGAUAACCUGCCUAACGUCGAGCUUGCGAAGCGCACUUACCGGUGCGGCGAUUUUGUGCCGGCUAUAGUACACGCGUCUGAGCUUAUUAUAAUCCUGUCGCGGUAUUAUGGUACUGUAUUCCAACUUUCACUGCAGCGCUGAAAAUCGAUAGUUCAUGUUACAUAUACUUUAGAUUUUCAGCAUUGACGGUGGAUGUUGAAACGCAGCCUAUAGUUGCGGUUGAGCGUGUUGUUAUCGCGCGCCUGAGACGUGCUUUCCUUUAUGGCGACUGGUCUGUCACAGUUGGCAAAUUAAAGAUUAUAACAACUUUUUUCCCGAGUUUCGUAAAACAUCCCGUGUCCGAUAGAAAAAUCUGUUUCCUGAUCAUUCUCAGGAGAUUAAUUUUCCUUUCUUUCUUUGGAUACGAAAUUCAACGAGUAACCAAUUAAAAUCGGAAACUUCCUGUAUAAUGAAUGAUUUCACACACCUGGAAAUUCAUGAUAAAUCACUGAUCGCGCCUCGGCGUCCUAGCUUCUCAAUUAGCAUUCUGCUCUUCGUCGCAUGGAACGCUCGCUGACACUCGCGUAGAUACGACUCGAUCGAAGGAACACGUAUUAAUGAACGCGAUACCGACGCUGGCUCGUGUUUACGGUAGUUACACGUUUCAAAAGCCGACGAAUAUUUUAAUCGCCCCGCAGGAAUGAUAACUAACGACACACGUACUCCGCGGGAUACGUGUCGGCUGAUAUAUAAUGGGAACAUCCGGAAAAAUUCUCGGAAUCGAUGCUCUCGUAUGCGUACUUGCCGAGCGACGUACGUGCCGCGGUGCGGAGUACGUGUGUCGAUGUGUUGGUUAUUGCCGUCGAUUUUUCACGUGUUCAAUUGAACUCUUGCCGCCUUUAUUAUGACGUUUUCGAUCUCUGAACUGCAUCGUGUCAGUUCACCAAAUCAGGACGGAGAACGCGGGAUGUGGGCAAUGAUGCAUCAUGUAUUUUCAAAUAUAUAAAGUUACUCAUCAUGGAAGUUUGCAAUUUUAACGAAUAUUUUACCGACCCUCAACAUAUAAUUCGUCAUUAUUUGACAAAUAAUUAUAGCUUCAUGAGUAGUUCUGAUUCUUCGUUAACACGCGCCAAGCACAUUCUAUCAUGUUCAAAUUUAUUUGUAACUAUCGAAGUAGGAUUUGUCCAAAAUAUGACGUUGUUUCUCCGUUAGUCCUUCAAGUUCGAGAGAAUUUGCGAGGUUAACGUAAGACCAAAAUUUCGAGGGAAGGAAAACGCUAAGGAGAAAGGAGGAGAAAGCUAAAGUCGACCAUUAAGAGGCUUGUCGAAAAUUAUUUAUGAUGACUCGUUAAGAUGCAGACGGUAUAGCUCUCGGCUGGAAUUUGGUUUUUCUUCUGAGUCAUUUUACUAAACUCACAAGAAUGUCGGCGGUAUCACCGUGUAAUAAUCGUCAGAUAGAUUUCUGAUCGAUACCGUAAGAUCUACGGUUACUUGUCGCCUUUCAAGAUCUUCCUAUUCAAAAUGUUUACCUAACGUAGUAGAAAACGUGAGAAAUAUCGGGAUAAGCCUUCACGAUACGGAUACACGUCACCCGUUCAUGCACUGCCGUGAUAUCGAGUAGCGAAAAAAUGUCAUCGGCGUUUAGAGAAGCGGCCGCUAGUGUAAGUGGAAAAAUAAACAGCUCAGCGAGGGAAUAAAUAGGAGAUUAUGCGUCCGAGAGCGCUUUCGAUUGUAACCUUACUG